CCUACGGGUGGCAGCAGUGAGGAAUCUUGGUCAAUGGCCGGGAGGCUGAACCAGCCAAGUCGCGUGAGUGAAGACGGCCCUACGGGUUGUAAACCUCUUUUGUCAGGGAGCAAGGUUCAGGUCGGGACCUUCUGUGCGAGUACCUUCAGAACAAGCAUCGGCUAACUCCGUGCCAGCCGCCGCGGUAAUCCGGAGGAUGCGAGCGUUAUCCGGAUUUAUUGGGUUUAAAGGGUGCGCAGGCGGAGGCACAAGUCAGCGGUAAAAUCGCGGGGCUCAACCCCGCUCCGCCGUUGAAACUGUUGACCUGGAGUGCGCGAAGGGUAGGCGGAAGGCGUGGUGUAGCGGUGAAAUGCAUAGAUAUCACGCAGAACUCCGAUCGCGAAGGCAGCCUACCGGCGCGCAACUGACGCUCAUGCACGAAAGCGUGGGUAUCGAACAGGAUUAGAUACCCCAGUAGUC
Molecule: ribosomal RNA, 459 nt
Filed under: uncultured bacterium
Lineage: Bacteria
Description: partial 16S ribosomal RNA
Rfam family: Bacterial small subunit ribosomal RNA
Source: RNAcentral